UCGGCUGUUACUUGUUUAUUUAAUUGCUGUAAGUUGAGUCCCUGUGCCACGCUAUGACCCUGUCGUAAGUAAUGUCCUCUGUGUCACCCUCUCGGUGUGUGUCUGUUAGUCUGUCUGUCUUCUCAGGUGAAGUGUGGAGUGAUGAGGCCCAGGACUGCUCUUUCUCUCGCCUUCUCGUCUCCAAAGUGCCAGGCAUUUCAUGCAGGGGUUUGAUAAGCUCCUCUCUGACAGCCUCCUGUCCUGAUGAUGUGGACACAGAGACAAAGGCCGACUUCUGCAUUCUUCUGAACCCAGGGUUUAACACAUGCUCAGAUAACAGAAAGGAUUACUUCAUCUCUCUAUUCUAACUCCACGACGUGUGUAUACAGGAAGCGACACCAGUUUUGGUGGGAAAACCACAACACAAACAUCAACUUCAAAACACUGCAUAACAGGAAUGACCUAACUGCGGUGAACAUGGAGGCAGAGAUGGUUCUUUGUGUGUGUAUGAGAGAGAGAUUGUGUAACACACAGCAGUAUUAUGUUUUCAGGUAGUAUAAGGCAGUGGGAGGGGAAUGGUGGAGGCUUGCUUUGCAUGGCUGUUCCAGCUGCUAUCUCCAGCUACAAGACUAAAAGUCUGGCCAGGAAAACAGACUCGCACACACUCACUCCUAUUUUCUUUAAUGUGCUCUGCUCAGUUUUUCCUACUUUAAAAAAAAAACAAGCUACAGCUGUCUGAUAAGAGAGAGGAGGGCCUGUGUACCUAUGUUUGUGUGAAUGUCACUGUGUCAUGUUCGUUUCUUGGAGGGUGUGUGUAGCAUUAGUCAUUUGAGCUGUGACAUUGGUUCUGUAUGUGGCAUGCGUGUGGGUGCACUCAUUAGUGCUAUUAGCAUCAGGGUAAAUAGCUAUGAAAUACUUUAUCACAUUAGCAAAGCAUUGUUUAGUGUCAUUUUAUGUCUAUUCAUGACAGCUUGUGAACUGAAGGUGGGCCUUUCAAAGUCAUGUCACUUAUCAUUAACAUGUUUUCUGAGGCAGAGUACCAUAGUAAAAGUGUUACUUUAGUGUUUUUUUUUUUUUUUUUUUGAAUAUUUACUAUUGAAAUACCAUGAUUCUUUGACAUGUACCAUGUUAAUACCCUGUUUAUCUUUGAAUUGGCUUAAAGUACCAUGUGAAUACCAUGGUAUAUAUAUCAAAGUGUCAUGGUGUUGCCAAGCCAACAUCACGCUGACUGUACCAUGGUACCACCACAGUGCAUUUUUAAAAAGUCAACCCAGAACAGCCUCUUUCAACCAGUUUCAAUGCAGACAAAUGAGCCCUGAAAAUACAUAAACUUCCCACUUUCCGUUUACUUCUUACUUUCACACAUAUUAAAAUUAUGGCCUACAUUUUACACAAAUAGGAGAGCAUAAA
This is a long non-coding RNA of Ctenopharyngodon idella (grass carp), 1389 nucleotides long. RefSeq lists it as uncharacterized. The transcript has 5 exons. The record is from RefSeq and is a predicted model, not a curated record. NCBI's taxonomy places the organism in Eukaryota, Metazoa, Chordata, Actinopteri, Cypriniformes, Xenocyprididae.